RNAcentral lists this ribosomal RNA (253 nucleotides) under uncultured bacterium. Its description in RNAcentral is "partial 16S ribosomal RNA". It matches the Rfam family "Bacterial small subunit ribosomal RNA", at positions 524 to 776 of the family's 1533-position model. The record is from RNAcentral.
UACGUAGGUGGCAAGCGUUGUCCGGAUUUAUUGGGUUUAAAGGGUGCGUAGGUGGUUCUAUAAGUCAGUGGUGAAAUACGGCAGCUUAACUGUCGAGGUGCCAUUGAUACUGUAGGACUAGAGUACUGUUGAGGUAGGCGGAAUGGACGGUGUAGCGGUGAAAUGCUUAGAUAUCGUCCAGAACACCGAUAGCGAAGGCAGCUUACUAAAGAGUAACUGACGCUGAGGCACGAAAGUGUGGGGAUCAAACAGG